RNAcentral lists this ribosomal RNA (443 nucleotides) under uncultured bacterium. Its description in RNAcentral is "partial 16S ribosomal RNA". It matches the Rfam family "Bacterial small subunit ribosomal RNA", at positions 338 to 795 of the family's 1533-position model. The record is from RNAcentral.
CCUACGGGUGGCAGCAGUGGUGAAUAUUGGGCAAUGGGCGCAAGCCUGACCCAGCAACGCCGCGUGAAGGAAGAAGGCUUUCGGGUUGUAAACUUCUUUUCUCAGGGACGAAGAAAGUUACGGUACCUGAGCAAUAAGCCACGGCUAACUACGUGCCAGCAGCCGCGGUAAUACGUAGGUGGCAAGCGUUAUCCGGCUUUGCUGGGUGUAAAGGGCGUGUAGUCGGGAAUGAAAGUCAGAUGUGAAAACCACGGGCUCAACCUGUGGCCUGCAUGUGAAACUGUAGUUCUUGAGUACGGGAGAGGCAGACGGAAUUCCUAGUGUAGCGGUGAAAUGCGUAGAUAUUAGGAGGAACACCAGUGGCGAAGGCGGUCUGCUGGACAGCAACUGACGCUGAGGCGCGAAAGCGUGGGGAGCAAACAGGAUUAGAUACCCCUGUAGUC